CCCGCUGAACUUAAGCAUAUCAAUAAGCGGAGGAAAAGAAACUAACAAGGAUUCCCCUAGUAACUGCGAGUGAAGCGGGAAAAGCUCAAAUUUAAAAUCUGGCGGUCCUUGUGGCUGUCCGAGUUGUAAUUUAGAGAAGUGUUAUCCGCGCUGGACCGUGUACAAGUCUCCUGGAAUGGAGCGUCAUAGAGGGUGAGAAUCCCGUCUUUGACACGGACUGCCAGGGCAUUGUGAUACGCUCUCAAAGAGUCGAGUUGUUUGGGAAUGCAGCUCAAAAUGGGUGGUAAAUUCCAUCUAAAGCUAAAUAUUGGGGAGAGACCGAUAGCGAACAAGUACCGUGAGGGAAAGAUGAAAAGAACUUUGGAAAGAGAGUUAAACAGUACGUGAAAUUGCUGAAAGGGAAACGCUUGAAGUCAGUCGCGUCGCUCAGGACUCAGCCUUGCUUUUGCUUGGUGUACUUCCUGUUCGAUGGGUCAGCAUCAAUUUUGGUCGGUGGAUAAAGGCUCAGAGAAUGUGGCAUCUUCGGGUGUGCUAUAGCUCUGGGUUGUAUACAUCGGCUGGGAUUGAGGAACUCAGCACGCCGCAAGGCCGGGUACUUGUACCACGUACGUGCUUAGGAUGCUGGCAUAAUGGCUUUAAUCGACCCGUCUUGAAACACGG
This 660-nucleotide ribosomal RNA is filed under the name uncultured fungus. RNAcentral describes it as "eukaryotic LSU rRNA". It matches the Rfam family "Eukaryotic large subunit ribosomal RNA", at positions 24 to 664 of the family's 3401-position model. Lineage: Eukaryota; Fungi. The record is from RNAcentral.